UACAGAGGGUGCAAGCGUUAAUCGGAAUUACUGGGCGUAAAGCGUGCGCAGGCGGUUUUGUAAGCCAGAUGUGAAAUCCCCGGGCUUAACCUGGGAAUGGCAUUUGGGACUGCAAGGCUUGAGUUUGGCAGAGGAGACUGGAAUUCCUGGUGUAGCAGUGAAAUGCGUAGAUAUCAGGAGGAAUACCGAUGGCGAAGGCAGGUCUCUGGGCUAGAACUGACGCUCAUGCACGAAAGCGUGGGGAGCAAACAGG
RNAcentral lists this ribosomal RNA (253 nucleotides) under uncultured bacterium. Its description in RNAcentral is "partial 16S ribosomal RNA". It matches the Rfam family "Bacterial small subunit ribosomal RNA", at positions 524 to 776 of the family's 1533-position model. The record is from RNAcentral.